Molecule: non-coding RNA, 992 nt
Organism: Lactuca sativa (garden lettuce)
Lineage: Eukaryota; Viridiplantae; Streptophyta; Magnoliopsida; Asterales; Asteraceae
Source: RefSeq, a predicted model, not a curated record
UUCCUUUUUUUUUUUGGUUCACCUCUCCUCGCUGACGUCCUAUUUCGUAGGAUACGUGUCUUCUUCCUCGGAUCUACUUUCCACGUGUUUCUUUUUUGCUUCUUUCGGAUCUUCACCGACUUGCCUUCUGCUCUGUCGUUCUUUUCUUUCUCAGGUAAUCUCUCUCCCUUUUUUUGUAUUUUCUUUACAUUGUGCUCUGUCUUUUACGCAUGUCUUUUUUAAUGGAUAUUCGGGCAAAGCGGCCAGCUAUAUGUUGUUCCUCCUCCUCUGCUCCUCGGUCGCGCAGGUCUAGACGUCUCGAUUUCUUUUCUGCCCUUCCUCGAUAUGUUGAUUCUGGUGAUUGUAGCUGUGUUUGUGAAUUCUGUGGUGCGUAUUUUUGGUAUCUUGAAAGGGUUGCAAUGUUUUCGACACCUGCUCAUCCGAGGUAUAGUCAUUGUUGUCAGGAUGGAGGUGUUGUUCUUCCAUAUCCUCCUGCAUUUGACCCCGAUUUCGUUGCUCUUUAUGAGAAUUGGAGAAUCGAAGGGUUCCAGCUUUACCAAUCGUUUGUAACAGUGUCGACCAGUGGCGGCAUAGGCGCAGGCCAGGGAGUUUUAGUUAUCCCAGCCACCUGACGACAUCGAAAAACAAGGAAGCACCAACUUUUCCCAUUGAUCUGCAACCUUCCUGAGGUGAAAGUUAUACUCGAUCUAUAAAAGAAGGAGAAGCUGCGAAUUUGGAGGUAGUGUGAUCGAUUUUGAGAAGGAAAAAGAGUGUGGCUUGUGCGAAUUGGUGAUCGAAAUCAGAAGAGAGAGAAGAACCUGUUAUCGUUUUGAUCGAUCUUUAUGUUUGCUAACAAAAAUCCAACUUCCUUGAAUUUCACAUACCAGGGGCAAAUCACCAAAUUACCCUUGAUUACAAUUUGUGGAGAAAUCUUGAUGCAUAAAUCCACAAUGUGACUGGAAUCCUACGCUUUGAACGCGAAAACAAAGCUGAAAUGCAGUAUUAAAUAUGGG